Molecule: ribosomal RNA, 329 nt
Filed under: uncultured bacterium
Lineage: Bacteria
Description: bacterial SSU rRNA
Rfam family: Bacterial small subunit ribosomal RNA
Source: RNAcentral
GCCCCGGAGCAUUCCGGGUUGGCUAAAGGGGUAAUUCGCCUGGAGAUGGGUCUGCGGCCUAUCAGCUUGUUGGUGGGGUAACGGCCUACCAAGGCGACGACGGGUAGCUGGUCUGAGAGGAUGAUCAGCCAGACGGGGACUGAGACACGGCCCCGACUCCUUCGGGAGGCAGCAAUGAGGAAUAUUGCGCAAUGGGCGAAAGCCUGACGCAGCGACGCCGCGUGGGUGAGGAAGUCCUUCGGGAUGUAAAGCCCUUUUGUCGGGGACGAGAAUGGACGGUACCCGACGAAUAAGCCCCGGCUAACUACGUGCCAGCAGCCGCGGUAAUA